UUCAGCGAGCUUCGGCUCACUAUCGGAUCGUUUUAGAAACAUCAGUGGCCAACAGAUCGCCAGAUCGUUGAGCUGCAUUGGCGGGAUUUCGCCGUCUUCGUUUCUCUUUCUUCGCGGACGAACACGCGCUGGGCCUGCAACGGCAGGAUCCAGGGUCCUUAACGGGAUAUGCGUUAGGGGCUUGUAGCUCAGUUGGUUAGAGCGCGCGCUUGAUAAGCGUGAGGUCGGAAGUUCAAGUCUUCCCAGGCCCACCACUUACAUCGAGUGAGCAUUCGUCUUCUGGUUACGGGGCCAUAGCUCAGCUGGGAGAGCGCGUGCUUUGCAAGCAUGAGGUCGUCGGUUCGAUCCCGUCUGGCUCCACCAGAUGGUUUGAUCACCGAGGUCAUGCACCGUCGUCCGCGAAACAUCACUUCGCAUUCGCUAGUCUGGAUAGACAGUGAACUGCGUGUUUUCUGACAUCGUAAAGAGGAGAUCGAUCCGAGUUGGGUCGUGCAGCAAGCAAUUGCUACGCGAGCCUUCAUUAUCUCCGGAUCAUUUCGGCGCUCGUGCGUCUUUCAAAGGUAGCUCACAAGGCUGCGCUUGAGAGACAAGCGAGUUGUAAAUGAUCCUUUUAGCGAAGCUUGACCGCCUCGCUAUCGGAACGAUCUUACGAAGCAAGCUGGUCUUUCUAGUCAAUGUCCGGCUGUACGUAGCAUUCAUCGAGGGUGCGCGCCGCAAGGCAAUCGUACAGACAACAUUCUGCCGAGUGUGUGGACAUUGAUAAUGAGAGCAAUCAAGUGCCUUAAGGGUGUUCGGUGGAUGCCUUGGCGCUGAGAGGCGAUGAAGGACGUGCUACGCUGCGAUAAGCC
RNAcentral lists this unclassified non-coding RNA (848 nucleotides) under Bradyrhizobium huanghuaihaiense. RNAcentral describes it as "partial contains 16S-23S ribosomal RNA intergenic spacer and large subunit ribosomal RNA". The stretch from base 178 to 251 matches the Rfam family "tRNA". Lineage: Bacteria; Pseudomonadati; Pseudomonadota; Alphaproteobacteria; Hyphomicrobiales; Nitrobacteraceae. The record is from RNAcentral.